This 84-nucleotide transfer RNA is filed under the name Streptomyces phage FlowerPower. Its description in RNAcentral is "tRNA-Tyr". The record is from RNAcentral. Lineage: Duplodnaviria; Heunggongvirae; Uroviricota; Caudoviricetes. RNAcentral also lists the same sequence under 4 other names.
UGGAUGGGUGCUGGGACACAAGCGGGGCUGUAACCCCUGCGUCGCGACGCGGCUUGCUCGGUUCGAUUCCGAGACGUCCAACCA